GACGAACGCUGGCGGCGUGCCUAACACAUGCAAGUCGAACGGAAAACAUAGCAAUAUGUUUUUAGUGGCGAACGGGUGAGUAACGCGUAGACAACCAACCUUUUUGUGGGGGACAACACUUCGAAAGGAGUGCUAACACCGCAUACGCUCCAGAUGCCGCCUGGUGUUUGGAGGAAAGGAGCUGUAAGGCUUCGCAAAAAGACGGGUCUGCGUCUGAUUAGCUAGUUGGAGGGGUAACGGCCCACCAAGGCGACGAUCAGUAGCCGGUCUGAGAGGAUGGACGGCCACACUGGGACUGAGACACGGCCCAGACUCCUACGGGAGGCAGCAGUGGGGAAUCUUCCGCAAUGGACGAAAGUCUGACGGAGCGACGCCGCGUGAGUGAUGAAGGCCCUUGGGUCGUAAAGCUCUGUCAUCAGGGACGAACGGUCACGUCAGGAAAUGGGCGUGAAUUGACGGUACCUGAGAAGGAAGCCACGGCUAACUACGUGCCAGCCGCCGCCGUA
This 506-nucleotide ribosomal RNA is filed under the name uncultured bacterium. RNAcentral's name for it is "partial 16S ribosomal RNA". It matches the Rfam family "Bacterial small subunit ribosomal RNA", at positions 28 to 522 of the family's 1533-position model. The record is from RNAcentral.